Molecule: ribosomal RNA, 253 nt
Filed under: uncultured bacterium
Lineage: Bacteria
Description: partial 16S ribosomal RNA
Rfam family: Bacterial small subunit ribosomal RNA
Source: RNAcentral
UACGGAGGGUGCAAGCGUUAUCCGGAUUCACUGGGUUUAAAGGGUGCGUAGGUGGGCAGGUAAGUCAGUGGUGAAAUCCCCGAGCUUAACUUGGAAACUGCCAUUGAUACUAUCAGUCUUGAAUAUUGUGGAGGUCAGCGGAAUAUGUCAUGUAGCGGUGAAAUGCUUAGAUAUGACAUAGAACACCAAUUGCGAAGGCAGCUGGCUACACAUAUAUUGACACUGAGGCACGAAAGCGUGGGGAUCAAACAGG